Molecule: ribosomal RNA, 113 nt
Filed under: Acanthosepion pharaonis
Lineage: Eukaryota; Metazoa; Mollusca; Cephalopoda; Sepiida; Sepiidae
Source: RNAcentral
UAUGGCCACAUCACAAUGAAACACUGGUUCCUGUAUGAUCCCUGAAGUUAAGCAAUAUUGAACCUGGUCAGUUCCUAGAUGGGUGACUGCUUGGGAAUACCAGGUGCUGUAAG